AGAGAGAGAGAGAGAGGGGAUGCAGUCUUUCCAGCAGGUUGUUUAGGUCACUGCUUGCAUAUGGCAACAUGUAAGCACUGAGCCAAAAAACAGAGAGUAUGUUCCAGUCACCUCAGGUUUGGUUUCUAUGCAUAUGCAGGCAUCUACAGACACACCAUUAACGCACAUAUAGUGAAAAAGAAGGUCAUUAGCACAAAUAUAGAAGUGCAGCUGAGUGCAUAUCAAUCAACUGUCAGACAAAUGUUUGUUAUUUUUAGAUAUUUCACAGGUACUUCUUAUCAAAAUGUUGUGAAUUAUACUUCCAUGCAGACACACUUGUAGCAUUUUUCAUCCUUGAAAUCCACUUAGUCAACUGUCAGUGUUAGUAAAAGUUUCUUGCACCAAAAUGGAUUUAGUUUUACGUGACUCUCUCUACACUCUUAGAAAUGAAGCAUGGGUGUAGUUAAAUUUAAAUACUAGUUUUAUGGUAAAAUUACUGAAAGUAUUAUGUUUAUAUAGUAAAAAUAAGAAAGUUUCAUUGCAUUAAAUUAAUAGUAUAAUAUUUCAAGUCUACAAAAUGUCACAGAUUUAAACCAACUUAACCAGAUCAUUUUAAACCUACUAGCAGUUGAAGAUUGUCCCAAAGCGCUUUCCGUACUUGCAAUUUCGCACAUGCACGGGAGGAAGCAAGAAGCAUCCAUUUUCCAUCUGCCCUUGGCCAAUUUUUUUAAAUCCGUUAUCAUCCAUAAAUUAUUUGGCUCUGAAUGUGGAGGUGCAAGCAGUGUCCUGAAAGUGAAUCUACAAGGACUACAGAACAAGUAAUAUUGAAAAAGAAGAAAAACCAACAGGUAAUCAAAAGUAAAAUGGAAGGAACCUUUGCCUAUAGAAGACAGGAAGUUGUUGGAAGAUAUGCCCUUCAUAGCAGAGUUCAAAAACAGAUGGCCAGGCCUGUUUUCUGAGAGCCAGGUAAAUGCAGAAUUCACCCUCAUCACCACUAAACCCUUAUGUCCCGACUGGAUCAUUACUAUAGCCAGCUAUUGAGGGUAUUUAAAAAGAAGUGGGGAACAGCAAGACGUGAUAUCGACGUAAUCAUCGCAGAAAUGGACAUGGCUACUGAGGAUAUUGGUAUUGAUGCAAUGAUGGAAAUGGAGAGACUGGCUUUGGGUGUCUACAUUGUUCGAUAUGAUGGAGCAGAUGCUUCAGAUCCACCUGAGGAUGUUGGCGUCGUCAUUGAAGGCUGCACAGUGCUGCGAGAUCUGAGAGAGGUUGCAAAUGGAUGUGCAGUCCUGUUUGGCUUGAUUCUGUUUAAACUGAGCUAUCCAAAGGAGCUGCAAUAAACAUUCGAAUUUCUUAAGAAAGUGUUUAUGGAAUUGGAUGGGAACAAGCUCUCCACUAAAGUGCAAGGUCCUCAAAAACAAACUGCAUGAGUAAAAUCACCUGCACCAGACAAGACUGGACCCGGCUUUGGACACUUUAGUUGUGUUUACUGUUACUUUAUUUUUGGACUGCUGCUUGACAAAAUAAAGCUAUAAUCAAUGAUGGUUUGUAAUAAGCAGACAGGACUGCAGUUGGUCAUCGACUUGCUUGGGGAGGCUCAGUUCUUUGGAUUUUGGACUGCUGCUAGACAAAACAUCUAGCAAUCUAAAGACAAUGUUGGUUGUUGUAAUUGGCAUUUAAACUUCUCUUGUUUCUGAUUUCUUCAGAAUCAAAAGAUGUGAAAUACAACAAACACUGGUUAUAAUGAAACCAUCUCAAACAAUUUAAGGUGAAGAUUGUUUUUUUGUUACGUAAACAUUGCUGAUUUUCUAUUUCUCCUUUUAAUGCAAACUAUAAACCUUGUAUUUUUCAUAAAAAUGUUCUUGAUAAGUCAGCAGGUAUGUAAAGUCUGAACAUAGUAUGUUCUAACGGUGAAGUGAGAAUUUUUCUGCAGCAUAAAUCCUCUUGAUUUUAAACUUCAGUUAAUUUAACCUCCCUCCAUAUAGAAAACAAGGAUUUGCCUCUUUAGUUUUAAUUUCAGUAGGCAACACCUGUUAGACAUUGUUGACGUCAAAGUUCCAAUUUACUAUAAAGCUAUAUUGGGAUUGAACAUUAUCAGAUGGUGAAGAUUCACAAACAAGUUUUAUAUUUUUGAAUUAUUAUUUAUAUUGGUCUAUUUGCAUUUUAUACGUGGAUUUAUGUUGGUGUCUUCAAUUGUAUUUUUACACUUUGUAUUUGUAUGUAAGUUUUGCUUACGUAUUUGUAAUAAUUUUAUCAGUCAUGAUAAUCCCAGAUAUAUUAAUGUACCUUGAAGGUCAACAUUACUUUGACUUAUACUUCAAAACCAAAGGUGAAUAAAGUUAAUUAAAGUGACUUGAGUAGUUUUCUUUUUAAACCGAGCAAGUAUAAUCAACACAAAUGGAUAACAUUAGCUUAUUUCUGUUUAAUAGAUAGAACUUAAUCAGGUAAUGUUAGUUCAAGCUAUAGUCAUUAAAUUCAAGACAAUAAUUUACAUUUAUUCAAAAUAAUUGUGUAAUGUACCAUUUAAUUAACACCGUUAUGAACGAUUUACUUAAAACAUUAUGUUACAAUUAAUUGUAUAUUACCUUUUCCAUUUAAGCAACUAAGUUUUGUGGGACCGGUUGACAUAACUUUAUUAAUUAAAUACAACAUUUCAUUUCUUAGAGUGUAACUCUUUGAAUUAAACAAGAAACAAGAAGUGUCCUAUCAUCCUUGUAAACUGGCUGACGUUCCCUUUUACAGCUGGACUAAAGUUCCAGACAAAAAGUCUCAACCAUCUCAAGUUACAAAAGGUUUAGCUGACUGUACAAGGAUAAGAGAGAAUUUUAUUCUAAAGGCCCCCUUUAAACCCCAGUCCAUUUAUGAUACAUCAUCAUAUUCAAUUUGCUUAGUUUUUAGUUAAUAGUUUAGUUAAUUAUAACAUGACCAUUUUAGAUUUGUCUUGCAUUGCUCACUUAAACAAUAAACAAGUUAAAUUUCAGUUUUACAGCUGAAUGACCAAAAUGUAUCAAUAUCCUGUAGCAUCAUCUUGAACAUGGAUAACAUUCCUAGCACAUAUUAAAUGUGUGUGUAAUUUAAAGGGAUGGAGGAAGUUCUCAUCCUCAUGUAUAGUGUCAGCCGCUGCUGUCCCGCAGGAACAGAGUCCCUUUGUACUUGCA
Carassius auratus (goldfish) is the source of this 3134-nucleotide long non-coding RNA. RefSeq lists it as uncharacterized. Lineage: Eukaryota; Metazoa; Chordata; Actinopteri; Cypriniformes; Cyprinidae. The transcript has 5 exons. The record is from RefSeq and is a predicted model, not a curated record.